Molecule: ribosomal RNA, 344 nt
Filed under: uncultured bacterium
Lineage: Bacteria
Description: bacterial SSU rRNA
Rfam family: Bacterial small subunit ribosomal RNA
Source: RNAcentral
GCUCAGGACGAACGCUGGCGGCGUGCCUAAUACAUGCAAGUAGAACGCUGAAGACUUUAGCUUGCUAAAGUUGGAAGAGUUGCGAACGGGUGAGUAACGCGUAGGUAACCUGCCUACUAGCGGGGGAUAACUAUUGGAAACGAUAGCUAAUACCGCAUAACAGCAUUUAACCCAUGUUAGAUGCUUGAAAGGAGCAAUUGCUUCACUAGUAGAUGGACCUGCGUUGUAUUAGCUAGUUGGUGAGGUAACGGCUCACCAAGGCGACGAUACAUAGCCGACCUGAGAGGGUGAUCGGCCACACUGGGACUGAGACACGGCCCAGACUCCUACGGGAGGCAGCAGUA